CCUACGGGAGGCAGCAGUGGGGAAUUUUGGACAAUGGGCGCAAGCCUGAUCCAGCCAUGCCGCGUGUGGGAAGAAGGCCUUCGGGUUGUAAACCACUUUUGUCAGGGAAGAAACGGCUUUUUCUAAUACAGAGAGCUAAUGACGGUACCUGAAGAAUAAGCACCGGCUAACUACGUGCCAGCAGCCGCGGUAAUACGUAGGGUGCAAGCGUUAAUCGGAAUUACUGGGCGUAAAGCGUGCGCAGGCGGCUUUGCAAGACAGAUGUGAAAUCCCCGGGCUCAACCUGGGAACUGCAUUUGUGACUGCAUGGCUAGAGUACGGUAGAGGGGGAUGGAAUUCCGCGUGUAGCAGUGAAAUGCGUAGAUAUGCGGAGGAACACCGAUGGCGAAGGCAAUCCCCUGGACCUGUACUGACGCUCAUGCACGAAAGCGUGGGGAGCAAACAGGAUUAGAUACCCUGGUAGUCCACGCCCUAAACGAUGUCAACUGGUUGUUGGACGGCUUGCUGUUCAGUAACGAAGCUAACGCGUGAAGUUGACCGCCUGGGGGUAGGUACGGCGCGAGGUUAGGUUAACGUACGAAGGAGUUAGACGGCGNGAGACGNGCGACGGACGACGACGAGGGAGGAGG
This 629-nucleotide ribosomal RNA is filed under the name uncultured bacterium. RNAcentral's name for it is "bacterial SSU rRNA". The stretch from base 1 to 542 matches the Rfam family "Bacterial small subunit ribosomal RNA", at positions 338 to 873 of the family's 1533-position model. The record is from RNAcentral.